GUCCCUUCGGUGACAUUCGAUAAAAUUGGAACAAUACAGAGAAGAUUAGUAUGGCUCCUGCGCAAAGAUGACACGCAUAAAUCGAAAAAUGGUACAAAUUUCA
This 103-nucleotide small nuclear RNA is filed under the name Arabidopsis lyrata subsp. lyrata. Lineage: Eukaryota; Viridiplantae; Streptophyta; Magnoliopsida; Brassicales; Brassicaceae. The record is from RNAcentral.